This 775-nucleotide ribosomal RNA is filed under the name uncultured Neocallimastigales. RNAcentral describes it as "partial large subunit ribosomal RNA". It matches the Rfam family "Eukaryotic large subunit ribosomal RNA", at positions 20 to 616 of the family's 3401-position model. The record is from RNAcentral. Lineage: Eukaryota; Fungi; Neocallimastigomycota; Neocallimastigomycetes; Neocallimastigales.
UACUAGAGUAGCACUCGCAUAUCAAUAAGCGGAGGAAAAGAAACUAACAAGGAUUCCCCUAGUAACGGCGAGUGAAGCGGGAAGAGCUCAGAUUUGAAAUCUUAAAGGGUUUCCCUUUACGAAUUGUAGUUUAAAGAAGUGUUUUCUGUUGAGGUUUUGGUAAAAGUUCUUUGGAAUAGGACAUCAUAGAGGGUGAGAAUCCCGUAUUUGACCAUGACUUUCCAGCUGUGUGAUACACUUUCAAAGAGUCGGAUUGUUUGGGAAUGCAGUCCAAAAUGGGUGGUAAAUUUCAUCUAAAGCUAAAUAUUGGCGAGAGACCGAUAGCGAACAAGUACCGUGAGGGAAAGAUGAAAAGAACUUUGAAAAGAGAGUUAAACAGUACGUGAAAUUGUCAAAAGGGAAGCGUUUGACACCAGUGUUGUUUUUCUGAAAAUCAAUUAAAGAACUGUUUAUGCUAAGUUGUUUAGACUUUAUCAGCUAUCUGCUUAGUUUUGAGCUUUUCUUUAAUGCACUUUUCAGUUAACAAGUCAACAUCAAUUUCUUUUGCUGUAAAAAAGCUUGAGGAAGGUGGCUUGAGAUUCGUCUUAAGUGUUUAUAGCCUCUUGCCUAUGCAGUCGGAGAGAUUGAGGUCUGCAGCGUAGAUCCUUCGGGGCUAAAUGCAUUUGUGCUAAGUUAUAGCAUUUUAUAGACAACUUGUUGACUAUGAUUUGUCUUGUAGCUUACUCGCUUAUGUUAUUUUACCUACGCUUAGGAUGUUGAGCGCAUGUCUCUCUCU